UACGUAGGGGGCAAGCGUUGUCCGGAUUUAUUGGGCGUAAAGAGCGUGUAGGCGGCUUUACAGGUCCGUUGUGAAAACUCGAGGCUCAACCUCGAGACGCCGGUGGAAACCGUAAGGCUAGAGUCCGGAAGAGGAGAGUGGAAUUCCGGGUGUAGCGGUGAAAUGCGUAGAUAUCCGGAGGAACACCGGUGGCGAAGGCGGCUUCCUGGACCGACACUGACGCUGAGGCGCGAAAGCUAGGGGAGCAAACGGG
This 253-nucleotide ribosomal RNA is filed under the name uncultured bacterium. RNAcentral's name for it is "partial 16S ribosomal RNA". It matches the Rfam family "Bacterial small subunit ribosomal RNA", at positions 524 to 776 of the family's 1533-position model. The record is from RNAcentral.